RNA transcript from Pleuronectes platessa (European plaice), 1100 nucleotides. RefSeq lists it as uncharacterized. NCBI's taxonomy places the organism in Eukaryota, Metazoa, Chordata, Actinopteri, Pleuronectiformes, Pleuronectidae. The record is from RefSeq and is a predicted model, not a curated record. The transcript is spliced from 7 exons.
AUAUUUCAUUUGGAAUGAGCCUCUGAGCCUCAGUUUUGUCCUGAAGAAGACGCAGUCAGCUUUAAACAGGGACCUGUGAGAUACACAGACACAGUGAAUCAGGAGCCAUGAUGAUGGAGGUCGUUUAUGUUGCUGUGGCUGCGCUCAGUCUUCUGUCUGUGGGACAGUCGGCUCCUGUGAUGAGCUGUGAGACUCUAAUCCAACCUCUUGUGAUCCCGGGCAGAGACCAGCUGCUGGGGAAAUGGGUAUUUGUAGCAGAAAGCACAACCAUUCCAGGGUCCAGGUUGCUGACCAAUCUUCUUGCUGACAGCGCAUGGAGCAAAAUGACGGCUGCCAACGAGAUUGAUGCCAUGGAUCUUUAUCAAGUUCAAAAAAUCAUUGGCCGAUGCUACUCUCUAAAAACUGAGCUGACCUUGCAUAACAGCACUCUGACUAUGGAGCAUCCUUACCCUGCUGCUGUCAUCCUGCUGAGCACUGGCUGUUCCGACUGCCUUGUUUUAUACUCAAGAAUCACCCUUGGAAGCGCAUUCAGCGGCCUGCAGCUCCUGAGCAGGAGAAGGGGAGUGUCUGUUGCUGAGAAGCAGGAGUUUCUCAAGCAGGUAGAGUGUCUGAAUUUACCAGCACCUGCUUUCCUGGACCCAGAGAAAGGUUUGUGUCCAGAUGAUUCUCUCUCCCUAGAAAGCGAGACCACUGAUAUGAUGAGUGCCGUCAAUGACAUGACGUCUAAGUGGUCUAGCAUGCUUGCCAACAUUACAAGCGCGGGUGGAUUGGACACCCUGAUCAAACUGUUCUCCAAGUGAAGAGCAUGAUUCAAAUAAAAUCAACUAAUCACAACAUAAUGAAAACACAGAGUCUUUGUGAAGACAAGUCUUCUAAUAAAAGAAUAAUCCCCUGAGUGUGACCCAUACAAUCAACCAGAGCUGAGUGACCUUCAUCUUUCCUGGCAACACACAAUCUCACAGUGUCAGUCAGUGUCUGGGUGGUUUUGAUAAAUCAAGAGGUGGACUGAGUGGGAGAUGUUUAAUCCAUAUCUUCCUUCUGCCUUUUCUCCCACUUGAUGGUAAGAGAUUGUAUGUUGAAUAAAACUGAGAUGUGCUAUA